Molecule: ribosomal RNA, 315 nt
Filed under: Triticum aestivum (bread wheat)
Lineage: Eukaryota; Viridiplantae; Streptophyta; Magnoliopsida; Poales; Poaceae
Description: partial small subunit ribosomal RNA
Source: RNAcentral
AUGUUUCCAUUCAAGUUCAAGAGGAAGCAAUUUCCCGUAAGGCUUAGCUUUGCUAUGACGAUUAACAAGGCUCAAGGACAGACGAUUCCGAUCGUUGGCGUGUACCUACCUAAUCCGGUGUUCUCUCAUGGUCAACUCUAUGUCGCAUUGUCUCGAGCCACCGCGAAGAGAAACAUAAAGAUCCUCAUUGAGAAGGAGAAAGAGAAGGAGAAUGGCAAGAAGCAAAGCACUAAACCAAAGAAGCGAAAAAGACCUGCCUUGUCCUUACAGACCUCGAUGAAGAACAUCGUCUAUAAGGAAGUCCUUACAGGCUGA